RNAcentral lists this ribosomal RNA (160 nucleotides) under Staphylococcus pseudintermedius. RNAcentral describes it as "partial 16S ribosomal RNA". It matches the Rfam family "Bacterial small subunit ribosomal RNA", at positions 1 to 155 of the family's 1533-position model. The record is from RNAcentral. Lineage: Bacteria; Bacillati; Bacillota; Bacilli; Caryophanales; Staphylococcaceae.
UUUAUGGAGAGUUUGAUCCUGGCUCAGGAUGAACGCUGGCGGCGUGCCUAAUACAUGCAAGUCGAGCGAACAGAUAAGGAGCUUGCUCCUUUGACGUUAGCGGCGGACGGGUGAGUAACACGUGGGUAACCUACCUAUAAGACUGGAAUAACUCCGGGAA